GGAAGGCAGAUUGUUGUUGAGGAGACCUUGGCACUCUUCGACUUGAGCUUAGGACCUGACCAUAAGAAGGCUCGGAAAACACUGGUAUACAUUGUGUACAUGGGUGACCUUCCCAAGGGUAAUGUCUCUGCAUCAUCGAAUCAUAUGAGAAUGCUGAAGGAAGUUGUUGGAAGUAGGGCAUCAGAGUCUUUACUCUAUAGCUACAAGA
Long non-coding RNA from Cornus florida, 208 nucleotides. RefSeq lists it as uncharacterized. The record is from RefSeq and is a predicted model, not a curated record. NCBI's taxonomy places the organism in Eukaryota, Viridiplantae, Streptophyta, Magnoliopsida, Cornales, Cornaceae. The transcript is spliced from 3 exons.